Molecule: long non-coding RNA, 1294 nt
Organism: Salvelinus sp. IW2-2015
Lineage: Eukaryota; Metazoa; Chordata; Actinopteri; Salmoniformes; Salmonidae
Source: RefSeq, a predicted model, not a curated record
CUCCCGUUCUCCUCAGUCCGAGAAAACACUGAGAGAAAAAGGUAACUGUUGUAUCUAAUGAAGUCCGGGACAUCGUCGUUGACCAUGUGGUAAGAGGCUGACAGAUUGGUGUGAAUUAAUCUGAAAAGAUCAACUGUCAAUUCGAUCAUGAGAACAUUUCGCCAAGAAACUGAAUUGACAGGAGAACACAUGGUGGUGGCCGUAUGCUGACCYACCAGCAGGACUGGGCAGUGGUGGAAAUGGUGAGGGCCAGGAAUGACAUACGGCUGUCUGYAAUAAAGCAGGCCAUUGAGGAGAACGAUGUCACCUUUGCCAAUGUGUGUUCCAGCAUGAAAUACAUUAACAUGUUGCCUGUUGAAAGAAUUAACAACCGGGUAAAACAACUGUGGGUCAAGUUUGUUCAGGUACAGCACUAUAUACUGUAUUAUUGUUAUUAUUUGAUGCGCAUGCUACUUCACAAUAUAUUGAAACUAUACUGUAAAAAUAACUAACUCCCCCAAAAAUGUAGAGGAUGAUGGUGCUUGAUGCUGCUGUGAACCAUCACAAGUAUAUCUUUGUUGAUGAAGUGGGCUUCAACCUGGCCAAAACAAGGCACCUUGGGCGGAUCAUCAUCGGCCAACGGGCGACUGUCCAAGUGCCUGUAAAACCUGGGGGAAACAUCUCUAUGUGCGCAGCCUUCUCUGAAGAUGUUGUGGUAGGACAUUACUUGGACCAUACAAUGCUGCACACCUCAUUGUUUCUCAAUGAAAUUGAGCAGGCAGGCAAGGUGAAGGGGUCACCUAUGCCAUUGUGCUGGACAAUGCCAGGUUCCACCAUGCUGAAUUGGUUCAGGCAUGGUUUUGGGCCCAUCCCCGAUUCAUGACCCUAUACCAGCCCACAUACUCUCCUUUCCUCAAACCUUUUGAGUAUUUAGUUUCAGUAUGGAGGUGGAAGGUGUACGAUCGACAUCCCCAUGAGCAUGCCACCCUCCUGGCCAUGGAUGAGACAUGCAACGAUAUUAAUGCAGACCAAUGUCAGGCUUGGAUUCGCCAUACCAGAAGGUUUUUCCCACGGUGCAUGAACAAUGACAUUCACUGUGAUAUGGAUGAGAAUUUAUGGCCAAAUGCUCAACACAGUCUUGAUGCAAAUUAAUGCGUUCUAAACGUUAUGUUUUAUUUAAAAUUUAAUUUGUUUCAUCGAAUUUCUUACAUUUGAUUACAGGCAGUACACUUAUGUUGCAAUUGUGCGUGAAUGAUUGUAGAGGAUGUCUAUAUUGGAUAGAUAUGGAAAGGAUAGAUUUUCUGUCAAUUUUGUU